Molecule: unclassified non-coding RNA, 412 nt
Filed under: Hevea brasiliensis (rubber tree)
Lineage: Eukaryota; Viridiplantae; Streptophyta; Magnoliopsida; Malpighiales; Euphorbiaceae
Source: RNAcentral
GCGCCAUGGGCGUAGAGUUCUAUUCACACAGCCCGCACGAUUCAAACAAAAUAACAAUUAAAGAACAAAAACCUGCAACAAAUAGAUUCGUUCUUCGUUCUUAACGUUAUGUCGCACUUGAAACCCUAGCGAGGGAUUGCAGGUAUGGAAGAUUCUGAUCAGGCAAAGGUUUACUGGCCAUUUGAGUUGGAUCAAUUCAAUCUCUCCGGUUAGUGCGGGGCAGAAGAGUGAUUCGAUAAUCAAUAGAAAGAUAUUGAUUGAUCCAUGGCCAAAUGAAAAAAGCCUUGUCGCUAGGGAUUCCUUUCUUCCCUUCGGAUUCUUUCUUAUUUUUGAAACAUCUACCGUUUUGUUAAUGUGUUCUUGUGUCUCUGUUCUGUGCGUUGUUUUUUUUUUUGGAACGUUUUCCACUUUC